AUUUACACCUACAUACAGUGUUUUUUGUUAUGAUGUCACACAUCAUAACAAAAUAACUGCAUGUAAAAGGAGUGAGGCAGGCUUUCUUCAUCCUUUGUCCCUCCUCCUUUCACGAGUUCUGUUUUAAAUAGAGAGCAAGCUUAGUUGGGAGAAGAGUAUCUACUUCUUGAACGCACCUGUGCCAUCCAUUAGUCAGACUGUGACAACCACUUGUUCAAGGAGAACAGCAACAUAUUUUUUUACUUCGUGUUCUUCUGAGAUCCAAAAUUACAGCAAUGGACAAUCGAAGCAGAGUUGUGUUCGCAGUCGUCAUGGUAAUGGCGUGCAUGGGAAUGAGAGCUGAGGCACAGAUCCCCACAACAGCUCCAAAUACAACAAAUACAACUCUUUCACUAAACAUCUCAAGGGCAAAUUGUGGAACCUCACAGUUCUGUGCUGCUCAGCCAGCAGGCUGUGACCCAUCUGUGUCUGGAUCCUGUUUCUUCGUCUCAACCAGUUUAAUCUCGGGACAGAACAUUUCCUUCCAGCUUCAAGGACAAUCCAGUGGCUACGUCGCUGUAGGGUUGUCCAGAACCAAUACAACGGGACAAAAUGACUCUGUCUAUGUGUGUGCUAACAUCAACAACAACGUUAAUUUCUCUUCCAAUCUUUACAACAACGGAACUCUGACUCCGAACAACACGCUGCCCUCUAACCUGGUGACUGGCUCAGUCAGUGGUCAGACCAUCCAGUGCAUGUUCUCUGCUACAGUCCCCGAUGCUACUUCCACCAAGAGCAGCAGUACCUCCUUUUUCAUUUCCAUCUACAACGGGACCGUGUCUAAUGGGGUGCUAGGUAGUCCUAAUGCUAUAUUUACAAGCACUGAAGCCGUGGACCUGUCCAAACCCAAUGCGAACAACAGCAACAGUUCUACAACAGCCUCACCAACCACCACAGCUAACCACGCUUUUUGUCUACAACGCACCCUGUCUCAAGCUCUGCUGAUCCUGCUUGGUGGACUAGUUUUCAUCAUGCUGUAAUGUGGAUCUCAGUAGUACACCACUUCACAUUCAGGAAUCCUGGACCUCUAUGGUUACUGAAGCCAACCAGGCUGGGUUCCCAAGAAUGAAACUCCUUCUGAGCAUGGGUAGUAAGACAUUAUCCAACAGAAUGAAUUCAGUAAUAUAAGAUUAAUGUUGUGUUUAUAGUCAAGGCCUUUUAAGGUACUUUUCAUCAUUAUUUAACCUCAUCAUCUUCGGCAUUACAACAUCAACAUCUCUUCAAUUCAGUGCCUGCAUAACAUAAAAAACUGUUGUGUUGAUGUUGUGUUGAGAACAUGAAUAUGAGGUAUAGACCUAAGACAUCCAACAAACAAGUUAUUUAUUUGAGCCCAGUCAUUUUCAUAUUCAUCGUAGCUGAUGUCAAGUUAUGUUGAAUGUCUUAGGUGUAUACCUAAGGAUGACAAGUAUGAAUUUGUGUGUGUGUAUGUGUGAAGUGUAACUAUUCGCUUACACAUUUGUGUCUAAUGAAGCCAAAAGUUGGCAGAAGCUGAUACUUGUGUGUGUAAUUCUGUUUGUGUGUCUGAUAAAGUACCAACAUUUUUUCUUUCUGAUUACCCUUUAAAAGUGUGAAAUGUUUUUCGUACAUUAAAAAUACAACAUUUAUUGACAAUACUAUGCAUUGUGUUUUUCAUACAUACACUUUUAUAUAAUUUAUAGACAGUAAAAUAAGUAAAAGACUGUUUAAAAUAAAAAUGAAUACAGUUAACAUACAAUAAGGGGAAUCAAGCAAUCAACCAGCAAAACCACAUAGAAUGUUCAAUUAAUUGAAACUGUUAAGGAUCUAUUUAUUACCCUAUUCUUAUUCUAUCCUUUAUUCUGCAAAUUAACUGUAAUAAAUGGACUAUUUUAGACUAGGCCUGAAAUUGCUUUAGAAUUUUCAUGGUUGCCACAUACAGAAGAAGACCUAGGUCAGCCUGCCCUGCUCUUAGAAGUGAUUAGGGCCACAACCAAGGCACCAGGCAUCAACCCUAUCUUUUGCACGACCCUGUUCAGUUGGAAGCCAUAAUAUGUGAUCAGAACAAUCUGUCAUGACGUUACUCUGCUGGUCUCUGUACUAAUUCUCUAUCAAUGUCAUGAUACUUUUUCCUGUGGAUCCAUGUAAUUAAACUUGAAAUAAUCAACUGUUA
Esox lucius (northern pike) is the source of this 2167-nucleotide long non-coding RNA. The record is from Ensembl. Lineage: Eukaryota; Metazoa; Chordata; Actinopteri; Esociformes; Esocidae.